Molecule: ribosomal RNA, 470 nt
Filed under: uncultured Nannocystineae bacterium
Lineage: Bacteria; Pseudomonadati; Myxococcota; Myxococcia; Myxococcales
Description: bacterial SSU rRNA
Rfam family: Bacterial small subunit ribosomal RNA
Source: RNAcentral
AGAGUUUGAUCCUGGCUCAGAGCGAACGUUAGCGGCAGGCCUAACACAUGCAAGUCGAACGAGAAUCCGGCUUCGGCCGGUAGUAAAGUGGCGGACGGGUGCGUAACACGUGGAUAAUCUGCCCUUUGGUAGGGGAUAACACUCCGAAAGGAAUGCUAAUACCGUAUAAGUCGGCGUGCUCUACGGAGCGCGUCGGGAAAGAUGGCCUCUUCAUGAAAGCUAUCACCGAAGGAUGAGUCCGCGUCCCAUCAGCUAGUUGGCGAGGUAAUGGCUCACCAAGGCGUAGACGGGUAGCUGGUCUGAGAGGAUGAUCAGCCUCACUGGGACUGAGACACGGCCCAGACUCCUACGGGAGGCAGCAGUGGGGAAUAUUGGACAAUGGGGGCAACCCUGAUCCAGCCAUGCCGCGUGAGUGAUGAAGGCCUUAGGGUUGUAAAGCUCUUUUGCCCGGGAAGAUAAUGACGGUACCG